Molecule: unclassified non-coding RNA, 400 nt
Filed under: soil metagenome
Description: partial contains 5.8S ribosomal RNA, internal transcribed spacer 2, and large subunit ribosomal RNA
Rfam family: 5.8S ribosomal RNA (bases 1-122)
Source: RNAcentral
GAUGAAGAACGCAGCGAAAUGCGAUACUUGGUGUGAAUUGCAGAAUCCCGUGAACCAUCGAGUCUUUGAACGCAAGUUGCGCCUCAAGCGAUUAGGUUGAGGGCACGUCUGCCUGGGCGUCACAUAUCGUUGCCUGAUGCCAGUUUCCUCGUGAUGGGUGACUGUGCAGGGCGAAUGAUGGCUUCCCGUGAGCAUUGUUGCCUCAUGGUUGGUUGAAAAUUGAGUCCUUGGUAGGGAGCGCCGUGAUAGAUGGUGGUUGAGUGACGAACGAGACCCAAUCAUGUGAGACCCCUACCGAAUUUGGCCUUCAUGACCCACAUGCGUCUUUGGAACGCUCAUGACGAGACCUCAGGUCAGGCGGGGCUACCCGCUGAGUUUAAGCAUAUCAAUAAGCGGAGGA